This 365-nucleotide ribosomal RNA is filed under the name uncultured bacterium. RNAcentral's name for it is "bacterial SSU rRNA". It matches the Rfam family "Bacterial small subunit ribosomal RNA", at positions 29 to 418 of the family's 1533-position model. The record is from RNAcentral.
AACGAACGCUGGCGGCAGGCCUAACACAUGCAAGUCGAACGCUCGUAGCAAUACGAGAGUGGCAGACGGGUGAGUAACACGUGGGAACCUUCCCUAUGGUUCGGAAUAGCUCAGGGAAACUUGGGGUAAUACCGGAUAAGCCCUUCGGGGGAAAGAUUUAUCGCCAUUGGAUGGGCCCGCGUCGGAUUAGCUAGUUGGUGAGGUAACGGCUCACCAAGGCAACGAUCCGUAGCUGGUCUGAGAGGAUGAUCAGCCACACUGGGACUGAGACACGGCCCAGACUCCUACGGGAGGCAGCAGUGGGGAAUUUUGGACAAUGGGCGAAAGGCCUGAUCCAGCCAUGCCGCGUGUGUGAAGAAGGCCUU